ACCAGACUCCUACGGGAGGCAGCAGUGGGGAAUAUUGCACAAUGGGGGAAACCCUGAUGCAGCGACGCCGCGUGAGUGAAGAAGUAUUUCGGUAUGUAAAGCUCUAUCAGCAGGGAAGAAAAUGACGGUACCUGACUAAGAAGCCCCGGCUAACUACGUGCCAGCAGCCGCGGUAAUACGUAGGGGGCAAGCGUUAUCCGGAUUUACUGGGUGUAAAGGGAGCGUAGACGGUGAUGCAAGUCAGAAGUGAAAGCCCGGGGCUCAACUCCGGGACUGCUUUUGAAACUGUGUAACUGGAGUGCAGGAGAGGUAAGCGGAAUUCCUAGUGUAGCGGUGAAAUGCGUAGAUAUUAGGAGGAACACCAGUGGCGAAGGCGGCUUACUGGACUGUAACUGACGUUGAGGCUCGAAAGCGUGGGGAGCAAACAGGAUUAGAUACCCCCGUAA
RNAcentral lists this ribosomal RNA (446 nucleotides) under uncultured bacterium. Its description in RNAcentral is "bacterial SSU rRNA". It matches the Rfam family "Bacterial small subunit ribosomal RNA", at positions 330 to 793 of the family's 1533-position model. The record is from RNAcentral.